UACAGAGGGGGCAAGCGUUAUUCGGAAUUAUUGGGCGUAAAGGGCGCGUAGGCGGCUUUGCAAGUGACGGGUGAAAUCCCUCGGCUUAACCGAGGAACUGCCUGUCAAACUGCAUGGCUUGAGACCGGGAGAGGUGAGUGGAAUUCCCAGUGUAGCGGUGAAAUGCGUAGAUAUUGGGAGGAACACCAGUGGCGAAGGCGGCUCACUGGACUGGUACUGACGCUGAGGUGCGAAAGCGUGGGGAGCAAACAGG
Molecule: ribosomal RNA, 253 nt
Filed under: uncultured bacterium
Lineage: Bacteria
Description: partial 16S ribosomal RNA
Rfam family: Bacterial small subunit ribosomal RNA
Source: RNAcentral